UACAGAGGGUGCAAGCGUUAAUCGGAAUUACUGGGCGUAAAGCGUGCGUAGACGGUUAUGUAAGUCAGAUGUGAAAUUCCGGGGCUCAACCCCGGAGCUGCAUUUGAAACUGCAUGGCUAGAGUGUAGUUAGGGUAAACGGAAUUCCACGUGUAGCGGUGAAAUGCGUAGAUAUGUGGAAGAACACCGGUGGUGAAGACGGUUUACUGGGCUAUAACUGACGCUGAGGCGCGAAAGCAUGGGGAGCAAACAGG
RNAcentral lists this ribosomal RNA (253 nucleotides) under uncultured bacterium. RNAcentral's name for it is "partial 16S ribosomal RNA". It matches the Rfam family "Bacterial small subunit ribosomal RNA", at positions 524 to 776 of the family's 1533-position model. The record is from RNAcentral.